This 470-nucleotide long non-coding RNA is filed under the name Medicago truncatula (barrel medic). RNAcentral describes it as "lncRNA gene22957". The record is from RNAcentral. Lineage: Eukaryota; Viridiplantae; Streptophyta; Magnoliopsida; Fabales; Fabaceae.
UAUUUUUGAGAGAAUAGAGAGAGAAAGUGGGAGCAAGAGGAGAAAAGGGUAGAGAGAAGAGGACUUGAAGAAUCAAGGGUUGGGAGAAGAGCUAGGAGCGAAAUUGAAGCCUAAGCUAGAGAGAUUAACCUAACUAAGACGUUGUGCAGGGUUAGUUGCUCGGUGAGUUUUUGUGCUUGGUGGAUAUCGGGAGCUUUCUCCGAUAUCGGUGUUUAGAGUCUAGGUGGCUCUGAUCUAGGCGUUGUCAUAGUCUAGAAUGUUUAUUUGGAUUAUUAUUCAUGAUUGGAGAUGUACCCGUAUGUUGGGAAUUUUGAGAUUCAUCUAUGUUGAUGUAAUAAUUGGUUUAUGACAUGUAUAUUUGGAAUACUCUGGUUUAUAUUCCGCUGCGACUGUUGAAGUUUAUAUACAUGUUUAUUGGUUUUGAAUUUUGCAUGAUGAUGUAUCCUCUAUUUCUUGAAUAAAUGUGUUAU